UGAGGAAUAUUGGGCAAUGGAGGCAACUCUGACCCAGCCAUGCCGCGUGAGUGAAGAAGGUUUUCGGAUUGUAAAGCUCUUUCGGGUGUGACGAUGAUGACGGUAGCACCUAAAGAAGCCCCGGCUAACUUCGUGCCAGCAGCCGCGGUAAUACGAAGGGGGCAAGCGUUGUUCGGAAUUACUGGGCGUAAAGGGAGUGUAGGCGGUUAUGUAAGAUAGUGGUGAAAAUCCCAGAGCUUAACUUUGGAAUUGCCAUUAUGACUAUGUGGCUAGAAUUACAGAGAGGAUAGUGGAAUACCCAGUGUAGAGGUGAAAUUCGUAGAUAUUGGGUAGAACACCAGUGGCGAAGGCGACUAUCUGGCUGUAUACUGACGCUGAGGCUCGAAAGCAUGGGGAUCAAACAGGAUUAGAUACCC
Molecule: ribosomal RNA, 416 nt
Filed under: uncultured bacterium
Lineage: Bacteria
Description: bacterial SSU rRNA
Rfam family: Bacterial small subunit ribosomal RNA
Source: RNAcentral